GACGAACGCUGGCGGCGUGCCUAAUACAUGCAAGUUGAGCGCUGAAGGUUGGUACUUGUACCAACUGGAUGAGCAGCGAACGGGUGUGUAACGCGUGGGGAAUCUGCCUUUGAGCGGGGGACAACAUUUGGAAACGAAUGCUAAUACCGCAUAAAAACUUUAAACACAAGUUUUAAGUUUGAAAGAUGCAAUUGCAUCACUCAAAGAUGAUCCCGCGUUGUAUUAGCUAGUUGGUGAGGUAAAGGCUCACCAAGGCGAUGAUACAUAGCCGACCUGAGAGGGUGGUCGGCCGCAUUGGGACUGAGACACGGCCCAAACUCCUACGGGAGGCAGCAGUAGGGAAUCUUCGGCAAUGGACGAAAGUCUGACCGAGCAACGCCGCGUGAGUGAAGAAGGUUUUCGGAUCGUAAAACUCGGUUGGUAGAGAAGAACGUUGGUGAGAGUGGAAAGCUCAUCAAGUGACGGUAACUACCCAGAAAGGGACGGCUAACUACGUG
Molecule: ribosomal RNA, 497 nt
Filed under: uncultured bacterium
Lineage: Bacteria
Description: partial 16S ribosomal RNA
Rfam family: Bacterial small subunit ribosomal RNA
Source: RNAcentral